This 498-nucleotide ribosomal RNA is filed under the name uncultured bacterium. Its description in RNAcentral is "partial 16S ribosomal RNA". It matches the Rfam family "Bacterial small subunit ribosomal RNA", at positions 28 to 507 of the family's 1533-position model. The record is from RNAcentral.
GACGAACGCUGGCGGCGUGCCUAAUACAUGCAAGUCGAGCGGACGAAUCGAAAGCUUGCUUUUGAUUCGUUAGCGGCGGACGGGUGAGUAACACGUGGGCAACCUGCCCCGUAGACGGGGAUAACACCGAGAAAUCGGUGCUAAUACCGGAUAACACGAAAUGUCGCAUGACGUUUCGUUGAAAGACGGCGCAAGCUGCCGCUACAGGAUGGGCCCGCGGCGCAUUAGCUAGUUGGUGAGGUAACGGCUCACCAAGGCGACGAUACGUAGCCGACCUGAGAGGGUGAUCGGCCACACUGGGACUGAGACACGGCCCAGACUCCUACGGGAGGCAGCAGUAGGGAAUCUUCCGCAAUGGACGAAAGUCUGACGGAGCAACGCCGCGUGAGCGAAGAAGGCCUUCGGGUCGUAAAGCUCUGUUGUUAGGGAAGAACAAGUAACGCAGUAACUGGCGUUACCGUGACGGUACCUAACGAGAAAGCCACGGCUAACUACGUG